CUGAUGCAGCCAUGCCGCGUGUGUGAAGAAGGCCUUCGGGUUGUAAAGCACUUUCAGUUGUGAGGAAAAGUUAGUAGUUAAUACCUGCUAGCCGUGACGUUAACAACAGAAGAAGCACCGGCUAACUCCGUGCCAGCAGCCGCGGUAAUACGGAGGGUGCGAGCGUUAAUCGGAAUUACUGGGCGUAAAGCGCACGCAGGCGGUUUGUUAAGCUAGAUGUGAAAGCCCCGGGCUCAACCUGGGAUGGUCAUUUAGAACUGGCAGACUAGAGUCUUGGAGAGGGGAGUGGAAUUCCAGGUGUAGCGGUGAAAUGCGUAGAUAUCUGGAGGAACAUCAGUGGCGAAGGCGACUCCCUGGCCAAAGACUGACGCUCAUGUGCGAAAGUGUGGGUAGCGAACAGGAUUAGAUACCCUGGUAGUCCACACCGUAAACGCUGUCUACUAGCUGUGUGUGUCUUUAAGACGUGCGUAGCGAAGCUAACGCGCUAAGUAGACCGCCUGGGGAGUACGGCCGCAAGGUUAAAACUCAAAUGAA
RNAcentral lists this ribosomal RNA (534 nucleotides) under Alteromonas sp. RNAcentral describes it as "bacterial SSU rRNA". It matches the Rfam family "Bacterial small subunit ribosomal RNA", at positions 383 to 909 of the family's 1533-position model. The record is from RNAcentral. Lineage: Bacteria; Pseudomonadati; Pseudomonadota; Gammaproteobacteria; Alteromonadales; Alteromonadaceae.